UCUACCCCUAAGGUAGGCAUUGCAGAUGUGGCUCCUGUGUGUCAUGUGCUUCAUUAGGCGGCAGAGAGGAGAGAGGCUCUGUCUAAGCUCAAUGUUCUGAUCUGUGAAUAUAUGAAUGAAUAGUAGCUUAACAUU
This is a small nucleolar RNA of Grammomys surdaster, 135 nucleotides long. RefSeq annotates it as small nucleolar RNA SNORA17. NCBI's taxonomy places the organism in Eukaryota, Metazoa, Chordata, Mammalia, Rodentia, Muridae. The record is from RefSeq and is a predicted model, not a curated record. The transcript has a single exon.